AGAUUUCAUGGGAAGAGACCUGAUGAUGCCAGUCCUAUCAGCCACCUUCUGUUCCAUCAAGCUCUGAAGAGGUGUGAGCAGGGUGGAAGGUGGAAAAUGCAUCUUCUGAGCCGAAGACGAAGCUGAGACGAAGUUCACACCUGAGUGUAAUCAACCUCCUACCUUUGGCAGUAAAAACUGGAAAAGAGCCAAGAGUCUCAGCUGAAGGACCGACGCUGCCCACAACGCGUUCCUGCUGGCGUUUUACUGAAGUAUGGGUGUAUCCUGAGACAGAACAUGGAAUAUCCCAAAAUAUGCUUCAGUAAGAGGUGUGGAGUUAACAAAAAAAAAAUCUCCCAGAUGCAUCAGCUCUCAGGAAGCGUUCAUGGAAUUUACUGAUGUCGACAAGUAGGUGAGGACAGGCACUG
Dromaius novaehollandiae (emu) is the source of this 407-nucleotide long non-coding RNA. RefSeq lists it as uncharacterized. Lineage: Eukaryota; Metazoa; Chordata; Aves; Casuariiformes; Dromaiidae. The transcript has 4 exons. The record is from RefSeq and is a predicted model, not a curated record.